This 899-nucleotide ribosomal RNA is filed under the name uncultured Sphingobacteriia bacterium. RNAcentral describes it as "bacterial SSU rRNA". It matches the Rfam family "Bacterial small subunit ribosomal RNA", at positions 8 to 905 of the family's 1533-position model. The record is from RNAcentral. Lineage: Bacteria; Pseudomonadati; Bacteroidota; Sphingobacteriia.
AGAGAUCAUGGCUCAGGAUGAACGCUAGCGGCAGGCUUAAUACAUGCAAGUCGUGGGGCAGCGCAGUGUAGCAAUACAUGGGCGGCGACCGGCAAACGGGUGCGGAACACGUACGCAGUCUACCCAGAACUGGGGCAUAGCCCGGGGAAACCCGGAUUAAUACCCCGUAACAUAAUUGAAGUGGCAUCACUUUAUUAUAAAAGCUCCGGCGGUUUUGGAUGAGCGUGCGGCUGAUUAGGUAGUUGGUGAGGGUAACGGCCCACCAAGCCUUCGAUCAGUAACUGGUGUGAGAGCACGACCAGUCACACGGGCACUGAGACACGGGCCCGACUCCUACGGGAGGCAGCAGUAAGGAAUAUUGGUCAAUGGACGCAAGUCUGAACCAGCCAUGCCGCGUGGAGGAUGAAGGCCCUCUGGGUUGUAAACUUCUUUUAUCUGGGACGAAACCCAUCCAUUCUUGGGUGAUUGACGGUACCAGAGGAAUAAGCACCGGCUAACUCCGUGCCAGCAGCCGCGGUAAUACGGAGGGUGCAAGCGUUAUCCGGAUUCACUGGGUUUAAAGGGUGCGUAGGCGGGCAGGUAAGUCAGUGGUGAAAUCUCCAAGCUUAACUUGGAAACUGCCGUUGAUACUAUCUGUCUUGAAUACUGUGGAGGUGAGCGGAAUAUGUCAUGUAGCGGUGAAAUGCUUAGAUAUGACAUAGAACACCAAUUGCGAAGGCAGCUCACUACACAGCCAUUGACGCUGAAGCACGAAAGCGUGGGGAUCAAACAGGAUUAGAUACCCUGGUAGUCCACGCCCUAAACUAUGGAUACUCGACAUACGCGAUACACAGUGUGUGUCUGAGCGAAAGCAUUAAGUAUCCCACCUGGGAAGUACGACCGCAAGGUUGAAACUCAAA